AACGCAAAUUGCACUUUCUGGUAUUCCGGAAAGUAUGCCUGUUUGAGGGUCAAUUAAAUAAAAUCGGGCGUUUUUACUGUCCGGAAUUGGGUCGUCAUAACUUCGGUUAAGUGACUUAAAAUUUUGUAUGAUUUUUUACAAACGUAUUUAAAAUAUUUUUGUACGUUUUUGUAAUUAUUCAGUGUUUAUUAGAUGUGGUCAUUUUUAUGGUUCGCGUCUAUAAUUUCUCAUCUAUUGACCUCAAAUCAGGUAAGAAUACCCGCUGAACUUAA
This 272-nucleotide unclassified non-coding RNA is filed under the name uncultured Glomeraceae. Its description in RNAcentral is "sequence contains ITS2". The stretch from base 1 to 52 matches the Rfam family "5.8S ribosomal RNA", at positions 103 to 154 of the family's 154-position model. The record is from RNAcentral. Lineage: Eukaryota; Fungi; Glomeromycota; Glomeromycetes; Glomerales; Glomeraceae.